GGAGGGGGCUAGCGUUGUUCGGAAUUACUGGGCGUAAAGCGCGCGUAGGCGGGCUGGUUAGUUGGGGGUGAAAUCCCGAGGCUCAACCUCGGAACUGCCCUCAAUACUGCCAGUCUUGAGUUCGAGAGAGGUGAGUGGAAUUCCUAGUGUAGAGGUGAAAUUCGUAGAUAUUAGGAAGAACACCAGUGGCGAAGGCGGCUCACUGGCUCGAUACUGACGCUGAGGCGCGAAAGCGUGGGGAGCAAACAGGGAUUAGAUACCCUGGUAGUCCACGCCGUAAACGAUGGGUGCUAGUUGUCAGGCAGCUUGCUGUUUGGUGACGCAGCCAACGCGUUAAGCACCCCCCGGCCUGGGACUACGGUCGCAAGACUA
This 372-nucleotide ribosomal RNA is filed under the name uncultured organism. RNAcentral's name for it is "partial 16S ribosomal RNA". It matches the Rfam family "Bacterial small subunit ribosomal RNA", at positions 527 to 896 of the family's 1533-position model. The record is from RNAcentral.